GAGUUUGAUCGUGGCUCAGGAUGAACGCUGGCGGCGCAUUUAAGACAUGCAAGUCGAACGAAAACUUUUCAUCGAACGGAAAUGAAGAUUUAUCAGAUUUGAAGUUCACCGAAAAGUUUUAGUGGCGGACGGGUGAGUAAUACGUAGAUAAUCUGCCUUUUAGAGGGAAAUAACAAGAAGAAAUUUUUGCUAGUGUCCCAUAAGACCACACUAUGGCAUCAUAGAGUGAUCAAAGGAGAAAUCCGCUAGAAGAUGAGUCUACGGCUGAUUAGCCAGUUGGUGGGUAAGAGCCUACAAAGCUAUGAUCAGUAGCCGAGCUGAGAGGCUGGCC
Molecule: ribosomal RNA, 331 nt
Filed under: uncultured bacterium
Lineage: Bacteria
Description: bacterial SSU rRNA
Rfam family: Bacterial small subunit ribosomal RNA
Source: RNAcentral